AACGAACGCUGGCGGCAUGCCUAACACAUGCCAGUCGAACGAGACCUUCGGGUCUAGUGGCGCACGGGUGGGUAACGCGUGGGAACCUGCCCUUAGGUUCGGAAUAACUCCCCGAAGGGGGUGCUAAUACCGCAUAAUGUCUUCGGGCCAAAGAUUUAUCGCCUUUGGAUGGGCCCGCGUUGGAUUAGCUAGUUGGUAGGGUAAAAGCCUACCAAGGCGACGAUCCAUGGCUGGUCGGAGAGGAUGAUCAGCCACACUGGGACUGAGACACGGCCCAGACUCCUACGGGAGGGAGCAGUGGGGAAUAUUGGACGAGGGGCGAAAGCCUAAUACAGCAAUGCCGCGUAAGUGAUGAAGGGCUUAGGGUUGUAAAGCUGUUUUACCCGGGAUGAUAAUGACAGUACCGGGAGAAUAAGCUCCGGCUAACUCCGUG
Molecule: ribosomal RNA, 433 nt
Filed under: uncultured bacterium
Lineage: Bacteria
Description: partial 16S ribosomal RNA
Rfam family: Bacterial small subunit ribosomal RNA
Source: RNAcentral